UACGAAGGGGGCUAGCGUUGCCCGGAAUCACUGGGCGUAAAGGGCGUGUAGGCGGUCAAGCAAGUGGAAUGUGAAAGCCCCCGGCUCACCCGGGGAUCUGCAUUCCAAACUGCUUGGCUUGAGUACGGGAGAGGAUAGGGGAAUUCCUGGUGUAGCGGUGAAAUGCGUAGAUAUCAGGAGGAACACCGGUGGCGAAGGCGCCACUCUGGGCCGAAACUGACGCUGAGGAGCGAAAGCGUGGGUAGCAAACAGG
RNAcentral lists this ribosomal RNA (253 nucleotides) under uncultured bacterium. RNAcentral's name for it is "partial 16S ribosomal RNA". It matches the Rfam family "Bacterial small subunit ribosomal RNA", at positions 524 to 776 of the family's 1533-position model. The record is from RNAcentral.